This 692-nucleotide ribosomal RNA is filed under the name Serratia sp. enrichment culture clone HMR6. RNAcentral's name for it is "bacterial SSU rRNA". It matches the Rfam family "Bacterial small subunit ribosomal RNA", at positions 78 to 765 of the family's 1533-position model. The record is from RNAcentral. Lineage: Bacteria; Pseudomonadati; Pseudomonadota; Gammaproteobacteria; Enterobacterales; Yersiniaceae.
GCUUGCUCCCCGGGUGACGAGCGGCGGACGGGUGAGUAAUGUCUGGGAAACUGCCUGAUGGAGGGGGAUAACUACUGGAAACGGUAGCUAAUACCGCAUAACGUCGCAAGACCAAAGAGGGGGACCUUCGGGCCUCUUGCCAUCAGAUGUGCCCAGAUGGGAUUAGCUAGUAGGUGGGGUAAUGGCUCACCUAGGCGACGAUCCCUAGCUGGUCUGAGAGGAUGACCAGCCACACUGGAACUGAGACACGGUCCAGACUCCUACGGGAGGCAGCAGUGGGGAAUAUUGCACAAUGGGCGCAAGCCUGAUGCAGCCAUGCCGCGUGUGUGAAGAAGGCCUUCGGGUUGUAAAGCACUUUCAGCGAGGAGGAAGGUGGUGAGCUUAAUACGCUCAUCAAUUGACGUUACUCGCAGAAGAAGCACCGGCUAACUCCGUGCCAGCAGCCGCGGUAAUACGGAGGGUGCAAGCGUUAAUCGGAAUUACUGGGCGUAAAGCGCACGCAGGCGGUUUGUUAAGUCAGAUGUGAAAUCCCCGGGCUCAACCUGGGAACUGCAUUUGAAACUGGCAAGCUAGAGUCUCGUAGAGGGGGGUAGAAUUCCAGGUGUAGCGGUGAAAUGCGUAGAGAUCUGGGGAAUACCGGUGGCGAAGGCGGCCCCCUGGACGAAGACUGACGCUCAGUGCGAAAGCGUGGG